RNAcentral lists this ribosomal RNA (474 nucleotides) under uncultured bacterium. RNAcentral describes it as "SSU rRNA". It matches the Rfam family "Bacterial small subunit ribosomal RNA", at positions 26 to 518 of the family's 1533-position model. The record is from RNAcentral.
AGGACGAACGCUGGCGGCGUGCUUAACACGUGCAAGUCGAGCGGAAAGGCCCUUCGGGGUACUCGAGCGGCGAACGGGUGAGUAACACGUGAGCAAUCUGCCCUUAGCUUCGGGAUAGCCCCGGGAAACCGGGAUUAAUACCGAAUACGACCUCGGCCGACAUCGGCCUUGGUGGAAAGUUUUUCGGCUAGGGAUGAACUCGCGGCCUAUCAGCUUGUUGGUGGGGUAAUAGCCUACCAAGGCGACGACGGGUAGCCGGCCUGAGAGGGCGACCGGCCGCACUGGGACUGAGACACGGCCCAGACUCCUACGGGAGGCAGCAGUGGGGAAUAUUGCGCAAUGGGCGAAAGCCUGACGCAGCGACGCCGCGUGGGGGAUGAAGGCCUUCGGGUUGUAAACCCCUUUCAGCAGGGACGAAGCGAGAGUGACGGUACCUGCAGAAGAAGCGCCGGCUAACUACGCGCCAGCAGCCGC